Molecule: ribosomal RNA, 519 nt
Filed under: uncultured bacterium
Lineage: Bacteria
Description: bacterial SSU rRNA
Rfam family: Bacterial small subunit ribosomal RNA
Source: RNAcentral
ACUGGGCGUAAAGGGCACGCAGGCGGUGACUUAAGUGAGGUGCGAAAGCCCCGGGCUUAACCUGGGAAUUGCAUUUCAUACUGGGUCGCUAGAGUACUUUAGGGAGGGGUAGAAUUCCACGUGUAGCGGUGAAAUGCGUAGAGAUGUGGAGGAAUACCGAUGGCGAAGGCAGCCUCCUGGGAUAACACUGACGUUCAUGCUCGAAAGCGUGGGUAGCAAACAGGAUUAGAUACCCUGGUAGUCCACGCCCUAAACGAUGUCAAUUAGCUGUUGGGCAACUUGAUUGCUUAGUAGCGUAGCUAACGCGUGAAAUUGACCGCCUGGGGAGUACGGUCGCAAGAUUAAAACUCAAAGGAAUUGACGGGGACCCGCACAAGCGGUGGAUGAUGUGGAUUAAUUCGAUGCAACGCGAAGAACCUUACCUGGUCUUGACAUGUACGGAAUCCUCCAGAGACGGAGGAGUGCCUUCGGGAACCGUAACACAGGUGCUGCAUGGCUGUCGUCAGCUCGUGUCGUGAG